AGUGAACGCUGGCGGUAUGCCUAACACAUGCAAGUCGAACGGCAGCACAGUAAGAGCUUGCUCUUACGGUUGGCGAGUGGCGGACGGGUGAGGAAUACAUCGGAAUCUACUUUUUCGUGGGGGAUAACGUAGGGAAACUUACGCUAAUACCGCAUACGACCUACGGGUGAAAUCAAGGGAUCUUCGGACCUUUCGCGAUUGAAUGAGCCGAUGUCGGAUUAGCUAGUUGGCGGGGUAAAGGCCCACCAAGGCGACGAUCCGUAGCUGGUCUGAGAGGAUGAUCGGCCACACUGGAACUGAGACACGGUCCAGACUCCUACGGGAGGCAGCAGUGGGGAAUAUUGGACAAAGGGCGAAAGCCUGAUCCAGCAAUACCGCGUGGGUGAAGAAGGCCUUCGGGUUGUAAAGCCCUUUUGUUGGGAAAGAAAAGCAGCAGGUUAAUACCCCGAUGUUCUGACGGUACCCAAAGAAUAAGCACCGGCUAACUUCGUG
Molecule: ribosomal RNA, 492 nt
Filed under: uncultured bacterium
Lineage: Bacteria
Description: partial 16S ribosomal RNA
Rfam family: Bacterial small subunit ribosomal RNA
Source: RNAcentral